RNAcentral lists this ribosomal RNA (520 nucleotides) under uncultured Glomus. RNAcentral's name for it is "SSU rRNA". It matches the Rfam family "Eukaryotic small subunit ribosomal RNA", at positions 569 to 1094 of the family's 1831-position model. Lineage: Eukaryota; Fungi; Glomeromycota; Glomeromycetes; Glomerales; Glomeraceae. The record is from RNAcentral.
AGCAGCCGCGGUAAUUCCAGCUCCAAUAGCGUAUAUUAAAGUUGCUGCAGUUAAAAAGCUCGUAGUUGAAUUUCGGGACCGAUAUAUCGGUCGUGCCUCGGUACGUACUGGUAUUUUCGGUUUCUACCUUCUGACGAACCUUGAUGUCAUUAAUUUGGUGUCUUGGGGAAUCAGGACUGUUACUUUGAAAAAAUUAGAGUGUUUAAAGCAGGCUCACGCUUGAAUACAUUAGCAUGGAAUAAUGAAAUAGGACGUUUGAUUCUAUUUUGUUGGUUUCUAGGAUCGACGUAAUGAUUAAUAGGGAUAGUUGGGGGCAUUAGUAUUCAAUUGUCAGAGUGAAAUUCUUGGAUUUAUUGAAGACUAACUACUGCGAAAGCAUUUGCCAAGGAUGUUUUCAUUAAUCAAGACGAAAGUUAGGGAUCGAAGACGAUCAGAUACCGUUGUAGUCUUAACCAUAAACUAUGCCGACUAGGGAUCGGAUGGAUGUUAAUUUUUAUGUACUNAUUCGCGACCUUACGGG